GAUGAACGCUGACAGAAUGCUUAACACAUGCAAGUCUACUUGAACUUCGGUUUGGGUGGCGGACGGGUGAGUAACGCGUAAAGAACUUGCCUCACAGAUAGGGACAACAUUUGGAAACGAAUGCUAAUACCUGAUAUUAUGAUUUUAGGGCAUCCUAGAAUUAUGAAAGCUAUAUGCACUGUGAGAGAGCUUUGCGUCCCAUUAGCUAGUUGGAGAGGUAACGGCUCACCAAGGCGAUGAUGGGUAGCCGGCCUGAGAGGGUGAUCGGCCACAAGGGGACUGAGACACGGCCCUUACUCCUACGGGAGGCAGCAGUGGGGAAUAUUGGACAAUGGACCAAGAGUCUGAUCCAGCAAUUCUGUGUGCACGAUGAAGUUUUUCGGAAUGUAAAGUGCUUUCAGUUGGGAAGAAAAAAAUGACGGUACCAACAGAAGAAGUGACGGCUAAAUACGUGCCAGCAGCCGCGGUAAUACGUAUGUCACAAGCGUUAUCCGGAUUUAUUGGGCGUAAAGCGCGUCUAGGUGGUUAUGUAAGUCUGAUGUGAAAAUGCAGGGCUCAACUCUGUAUUGCGUUGGAAACUGUGUAACUAGAGUACUGGAGAGGUAAGCGGAACUACAAGUGUAGAGGUGAAAUUCGUAGAUAUGUGUAGGAAUGCCGAUGGGGAAGCCAGCUUACUGGACAGAUACUGACGCUGAAGCGCGAAAGCGUGGGUAGCAAACAGG
RNAcentral lists this ribosomal RNA (722 nucleotides) under uncultured Fusobacterium sp. RNAcentral's name for it is "bacterial SSU rRNA". It matches the Rfam family "Bacterial small subunit ribosomal RNA", at positions 28 to 776 of the family's 1533-position model. Lineage: Bacteria; Fusobacteriati; Fusobacteriota; Fusobacteriia; Fusobacteriales; Fusobacteriaceae. The record is from RNAcentral.